RNAcentral lists this long non-coding RNA (1961 nucleotides) under Heterocephalus glaber (naked mole-rat). RNAcentral describes it as "lncRNA (ENSHGLG00100043106.1)". Lineage: Eukaryota; Metazoa; Chordata; Mammalia; Rodentia; Bathyergidae. The record is from RNAcentral.
CAGGCACUAUCGCCUGCCUGACACUGUGCUGUGCAGCCCAGUGGGGAGACCAGCAAGGAGAUGGAUUGAGGGAGUUAGCAGGCACAGUAGUGCUGUGCAUUUGUUAAAGAAUGUGGGCGUGGUUGGCUAGGUCUUGGGGCCUGGCCAGCUAGGACCCAUGGGCGUGGUCAACUAGGAUGGGGGUGUGGUCAGUUAGGUGUGUGAUCCUGGUCAGCCAGGCUCUAAGGAAUAGUCCUUUAGAUCUGCUAAGUCCAUUGACUCUGGAGUCCCCUGGAAGAGUGGCUAACCCAGCUGUGACUCCCCAGCCAGGGGAGAACUGCCUAGAACCAGGACCAGAGCAGCCUCUAUGGGGUCACACUCACCACGCAGUGAUGACGAAGCUUCCUGAGGAUGGUGCAAGGAGCUCAUAUUCUGGAAAAUUCAUCUGGGGCAGCACUGGGGACAUGAGAGACACUGUGGGCCACUAGAGCUGGCUUGGCCUUAAUUUGGUCCCCUACCGACAGAGGACCUUGUGCUUUUGAGGCAGGCCAGGUGCCACUGAGCUACAUCCCCGCCCCCCUUCCUUUCUUGACCCCUUCAAGCAGAGGGAAGAAGAGGAGCUUGUUGUCGAGAGAGGCCCAGGUGAUUGAGCUGUGACAAGUGGCAGAGACAGGAGAGGCCCAGCUGUCUGGACAGUUGCCCACAUUCCAAUCUCAGGAUGCUUUGACUGCAAAGCUAGGAACCAGUAAAUCCAACAGCACCUGGCCUGGUGGCCAUGCUGGUGCUGUUCCUGCACUUGGCCCUGCAAUGGCUCAAAGGAACGGGACCCAAAAGAGACACGGCUUGCUUAACACCCCAUCUUAGCAACAUCAUGCAGCUCUUUCUGCAGUCACUGGCCUUUCCUCCUUAGCUGCCAGAACCCCACAUUGCAGAGGAAGCCUGUGCACAGUGAAGGGGAUGUGGAACCUGGGAGCCAGUCCCCAGCACUGUCACUGGGCCAUAGCUGCUGAGAGGAAAGGGCAGCCUGGCCAGAGUAAGCACAGUGGCCAUUGGGAGCCAUGGGCCUGGCCUGCGGCUCUGCAACUCUUCAAAUUAAGGAACCAACAAAGCAUCAGGUGAGAAAGCAGAUGCCAUGCCUGUGCAGAGCUCUACAAGGCAAGCGGUUGUUGUCAUUCUCAUGCCAUGGUGCGUGCAGAUGUUGCAUGUGCAUGGUACAUGCAUGGAAGCCGUGAUUGGCAGGGGCCCAGAAAACCUGCAUCAUCUAUUCUUGUCCUUGGUCUGAGGCGCCUCUCACCUGUCUUACCAAUCUCACAUUUCUGGGGCUUCACUAUGGAAGCCUCUUCUGCUAUGCAGAAAUCCGGGUGUCUGUGGGGGCUGGUUCUCCUCAGAUGGGUGCCCUCCUUGUGCGUGACAACAGAUGAGCUAUAUUUCAAAACAAAGUGCUGUGUUAUAAUCAUCUGCCUGAAUUCCCCAGGGUAUCUUUUACCUGACUUGAUAACAAUGUUCUUCAUUAGCAGCGCUUUGUUAACUGAUAACCUGAAGCAGUAACUUGGUAUUCAUAAGCAAUUUUCUGUAUGUAAGAUAGAAUAAACCAUCUUGUAAGGGAUCUGUUAAUUGAUUUGCUUCUUUUAGCAGCAUUUUAAUUAAGGCAUCUGGUUUUGGAGGGCAGAAAUAGUUGUGAGCAGAAGGGAAAGGCUCUGGAUUCUCAGUCCAUGAAAAUGUCCUGUGCACUGAGCAGAGAAACACAGUCAUGUGUCACUCGGUGACAAGGACAUGUCCAGGAAGUGUGCAUUUGGGGUUCAUCACUAUGUGGAUGCGGCAGAUGCCCGCACAGGGACUGCGAUGGUUGUGGCAUUACUAUGAUACCAUGCAUAUGGUCCAUCACUGAUGGAAAUAGCGCUAUUCUGGGCAUGUCUGCAGGCUGAAGACCAGUGACCUCCCUCAGAUGGUAGGGACUAACGUCAUUUAGGAGGCAGUGUGGG